GGGUUGUGAGGUUAAGCGACUAAGCGUACACGGUGGAUGCCCUGGCAGUCAGAGGCGAUGAAGGACGUGCUAAUCUGCGAUAAGCGUCGGUGAGGUGAUAUGAACCGUUAUAACCGGCGAUUUCCGAAUGGGGAAACCCAGUGUGUUUCGACACACUAUCAUUAACUGAAUCCAUAGGUUAAUGAGGCGAACCGGGGGAACUGAAACAUCUAAGUACCCCGAGGAAAAGAAAUCAACCGAGAUUCCCCCAGUAGCGGCGAGCGAACGGGGAGGAGCCCAGAGCCUGAAUCAGUGUGUGUGUUAGUGGAAGCGUCUGGAAAGGCGCGCGAUACAGGGUGACAGCCCCGUACACAAAAAUGCACAUAUUGUGAGCUCGAUGAGUAGGGCGGGACACGUGGUAUCCUGUCUGAAUAUGGGGGGACCAUCCUCCAAGGCUAAAUACUCCUGACUGACCGAUAGUGAACCAGUACCGUGAGGGAAAGGCGAAAAGAACCCCGGCGAGGGGAGUGAAAAAGAACCUGAAACCGUGUACGUACAAGCAGUGGGAGCCUCUUAAUGGGGUGACUGCGUACCUUUUGUAUAAUGGGUCAGCGACUUAUAUUCUGUAGCAAGGUUAACCGAAUAGGGGAGCCGAAGGGAAACCGAGUCUUAACUGGGCGUUAAGUUGCAGGGUAUAGACCCGAAACCCGGUGAUCUAGCCAUGGGCAGGUUGAAGGUUGGGUAACACUAACUGGAGGACCGAACCGACUAAUGUUGAAAAAUUAGCGGAUGACUUGUGGCUGGGGGUGAAAGGCCAAUCAAACCGGGAGAUAGCUGGUUCUCCCCGAAAGCUAUUUAGGUAGCGCCUCGUGAAUUCAUCUCCGGGGGUAGAGCACUGUUUCGGCAAGGGGGUCAUCCCGACUUACCAACCCGAUGCAAACUGCGAAUACCGGAGAAUGUUAUCACGGGAGACACACGGCGGGUGCUAACGUCCGUCGUGAAGAGGGAAACAACCCAGACCGCCAGCUAAGGUCCCAAAGUCAUGGUUAAGUGGGAAACGAUGUGGGAAGGCCCAGACAGCCAGGAUGUUGGCUUAGAAGCAGCCAUCAUUUAAAGAAAGCGUAAUAGCUCACUGGUCGAGUCGGCCUGCGCGGAAGAUGUAACGGGGCUAAACCAUGCACCGAAGCUGCGGCAGCGACACUAUGUGUUGUUGGGUAGGGGAGCGUUCUGUAAGCCUGUGAAGGUGKMCUGUGAGGKWUGCUGGAGGUAUCAGAAGUGCGAAUGCUGACAUAAGUAACGAUAAAGCGGGUGAAAAGCCCGCUCGCCGGAAGACCAAGGGUUCCUGUCCAACGUUAAUCGGGGCAGGGUGAGUCGACCCCUAAGGCGAGGCCGAAAGGCGUAGUCGAUGGGAAACAGGUUAAUAUUCCUGUACUUGGUGUUACUGCGAAGGGGGGACGGAGAAGGCUAUGUUGGCCGGGCGACGGUUGUCCCGGUUUAAGCGUGUAGGCUGGUUUUCCAGGCAAAUCCGGAAAAUCAAGGCUGAGGCGUGAUGACGAGGCACUACGGUGCUGAAGCGACAAAUGCCCUGCUUCCAGGAAAAGCCUCUAAGCAUCAGGUAACAUCAAAUCGUACCCCAAACCGACACAGGUGGUCAGGUAGAGAAUACCAAGGCGCUUGAGAGAACUCGGGUGAAGGAACUAGGCAAAAUGGUGCCGUAACUUCGGGAGAAGGCACGCUGAUAUGUAGGUGAAGCGACUUGCUCGUGGAGCUGAAAUCAGUCGAAGAUACCAGCUGGCUGCAACUGUUUAUUAAAAACACAGCACUGUGCAAACACGAAAGUGGACGUAUACGGUGUGACGCCUGCCCGGUGCCGGAAGGUUAAUUGAUGGGGUUAGCGGUAACGCGAAGCUCUUGAUCGAAGCCCCGGUAAACGGCGGCCGUAACUAUAACGGUCCUAAGGUAGCGAAAUUCCUUGUCGGGUAAGUUCCGACCUGCACGAAUGGCGUAAUGAUGGCCAGGCUGUCUCCACCCGAGACUCAGUGAAAUUGAACUCGCUGUGAAGAUGCAGUGUACCCGCGGCAAGACGGAAAGACCCCGUGAACCUUUACUAUAGCUUGACACUGAACAUUGAGCCUUGAUGUGUAGGAUAGGUGGGAGGCUUUGAAGUGUGGACGCCAGUCUGCAUGGAGCCGACCUUGAAAUACCACCCUUUAAUGUUUGAUGUUCUAACGUGGGCCCCUUACCGGGGUUGCGGACAGUGUCUGGUGGGUAGUUUGACUGGGGCGGUCUCCUCCUAAAGAGUAACGGAGGAGCACGAAGGUUGGCUAAUCCUGGUCGGACAUCAGGAGGUUAGUGCAAUGGCAUAAGCCAGCUUGACUGCGAGCGUGACGGCGCGAGCAGGUGCGAAAGCAGGUCAUAGUGAUCCGGUGGUUCUGAAUGGAAGGGCCAUCGCUCAACGGAUAAAAGGUACUCCGGGGAUAACAGGCUGAUACCGCCCAAGAGUUCAUAUCGACGGCGGUGUUUGGCACCUCGAUGUCGGCUCAUCACAUCCUGGGGCUGAAGUAGGUCCCAAGGGUAUGGCUGUUCGCCAUUUAAAGUGGUACGCGAGCUGGGUUUAGAACGUCGUGAGACAGUUCGGUCCCUAUCUGCCGUGGGCGCUGGAGAACUGAGGGGGGCUGCUCCUAGUACGAGAGGACCGGAGUGGACGCAUCACUGGUGUUCGGGUUGUCAUGCCAAUGGCACUGCCCGGUAGCUAAAUGCGGAAGAGAUAAGUGCUGAAAGCAUCUAAGCACGAAACUUGCCCCGAGAUGAGUUCUCCCUGACUCCUUGAGAGUCCUGAAGGAACGUUGAAGACGACGACGUUGAUAGGCCGGGUGUGUAAGCGCAGCGAUGCGUUGAGCUAACCGGUACUAAUGAACCGUGAGGCUUAACCUUACAACGCCGAAG
RNAcentral lists this ribosomal RNA (2925 nucleotides) under Escherichia coli. Its description in RNAcentral is "23S ribosomal RNA". It matches the Rfam family "Bacterial large subunit ribosomal RNA". The record is from RNAcentral. Lineage: Bacteria; Pseudomonadati; Pseudomonadota; Gammaproteobacteria; Enterobacterales; Enterobacteriaceae.